Molecule: ribosomal RNA, 421 nt
Filed under: uncultured bacterium
Lineage: Bacteria
Description: partial 16S ribosomal RNA
Rfam family: Bacterial small subunit ribosomal RNA
Source: RNAcentral
AUUCUUGACAAUGGGGGCAACCCUGAUCCAGCCAUCCCGCGUGUGCGAUGAAGGCCUUCGGGUUGUAAAUCACUUUUGGCAGGCAAGAAACGGCGCCAGCUAAUACCUGGCUCUAAUGACGGUACCUGCAGAAUAAGCACCUGCUAACUACGUGUCGGCAGCCGCGGUAAUACGUAUGGUGCAAGCGUUAAUCGGAAUUAUUGGGCGUAAAGCGUGCGCAAGAGGUUCGGAAAGAAAGAUGUGAAAUCCCACAGCUUAACUUUGGAACUGCAUAUUUAACUACCGGGCUAGAGUGUGUCAGAGGGAGGUAGAAUUCCGCGUGUAGCAGUGAAAUGCGUAGAUAUGCGGAGGAACACCGAUGGCGAAGGCAGCCUCCUGGGAUAACACUGACGCUCAUGCACGAAAGCGUGGGGAGCAAACA